AAGUCGUAACAAGGUUUCCGUAGGUGAACCUGCGGAAGGAUCAUUAACACGUAUCCAAACGUUAAACCCCCCUGUGAACCUUCACCUGUACUCGUACGUCCGUUAGAAAAAGCAGCAAUCCCUGGUAAAUCAUCGCCGAACAGUUUUCGAUUCAGGGACGUCUGCAAGGAGCGUGCAUGUUGUGCGAAGCAAGUGGCCUGGCAUCCCCAAGCAGUUAGUGUCUGAAAGUAUGACGCAGUCACGAUCGUUGGAGGCCCGACCGGGUCGCUGGGCGCAAGCCCCCCUAUAACAAACCCCCUGCCAAUCGCGGCCGCGAUAAUACGCAGUCGACCAAAAACCGAACAACUGUGAACAAUGGAUAUCUUGGUUC
This 370-nucleotide unclassified non-coding RNA is filed under the name fungal sp. Its description in RNAcentral is "partial internal transcribed spacer region". The stretch from base 1 to 46 matches the Rfam family "Eukaryotic small subunit ribosomal RNA", at positions 1786 to 1831 of the family's 1831-position model. The record is from RNAcentral. Lineage: Eukaryota; Fungi.